AGAGUUUGAUCCUGGCUCAGGACGAACGCUGGCGGCGUGCUUAACACAUGCAAGUCGAACGAGAAUCUUGAGAAUGAUCCCUUCGGGGUGAUUUCUUAAGAGGAAAGUGGCGAACGGGCGAGUAACGCGUGAGUAACCUGCCCAUAAGAGGGGGAUAAUCCUUGGAAACGAGGACUAAUACCGCAUAUUGUAAUUUUACCGCAUGGUGAGAUUAUGAAAGAUUUAUCGCUUAUGGAUGGACUCGCGUCAGAUUAGCUAGUUGGUGAGGUAACGGCUCACCAAGGCGACGAUCUGUAGCCGAACUGAGAGGUUGAUCGGCCGCAUUGGGACUGAGACACGGCCCAGACUCCUACGGGAGGCAGCAGUGGGGAAUAUUGCGCAAUGGGGGCAACCCUGACGCAGCAACGCCGCGUGCAGGAAGAAGGUCUUCGGAUUGUAAACUGUUGUCGCAAGGGAAGAAGACAGUGACGGUACCUUGUGAGAAAGUCACGGCUAACUACGUGCCAGCAGCCGCGGUAAUACGUAGGUGACAAGCGUUGUCCGGAAUUACUGGGUGUAAAGGGAGCGCAGGCGGGACUGCAAGUUGGAUGUGAAAUACCGGGGCUCAACCCCGGGGCUGCAUCCAAAACUGUAGUUCUUGAGUGAAGUAGAGGUAGGCGGAAUUCCGAGUGUAGCGGUGAAAUGCGUAGAUAUUCGGAGGAACACCAGUGGCGAAGGCGGCCUACUGGGCUUUAACUGACGCUGAGGCUCGAAAGUGUGGGGAGCAAACAGGAUUAGAUACCCUGGUAGUCCACACUGUAAACGAUGAUAGCUAGGUGUGGGGGGUCUGACCCCUUCCGUGCCGGAGUUAACGCAAUAAGCUAUCCACCUGGGGAGUACGGCCGCAAGGUUGAAACUCAAAGGAAUUGACGGGGGCCCGCACAAGCAGUGGAUUAUGUGGUUUAAUUCGAAGCAACGCGAAGAACCUUACCAGGGCUUGACAUAUGCAGGAAUAUUUAAGAGAUUAAAUAGCUCUUCGGAGUCUGCAUACAGGUGGUGCAUGGUUGUCGUCAGCUCGUGUCGUGAGAUGUUGGGUUAAGUCCCGCAACGAGCGCAACCCCUGUUUUCAGUUACCAGCAAGUAAAGUUGGGGACUCUGGAAAGACUGCCGGUGAUAAAUCGGAGGAAGGUGGGGACGACGUCAAAUCAUCAUGCCCUUUAUGUCCUGGGCUACACACGUACUACAAUGGCUAUAACAAAGAGAAGCGAAACAGUGAUGUAGAGCAAAACUCAAAAAAGUAGUCUCAGUUCGGAUUGUAGGCUGAAAUUCGCCUACAUGAAGCUGGAAUUGCUAGUAAUGGCAGGUCAGCAUACUGCCGUGAAUACGUUCCCGGGCCUUGUACACACCGCCCGU
This 1392-nucleotide ribosomal RNA is filed under the name uncultured bacterium. Its description in RNAcentral is "bacterial SSU rRNA". It matches the Rfam family "Bacterial small subunit ribosomal RNA". The record is from RNAcentral.